GGGCACGUGGUGUAGUUGGUUAUCACGCUCGCUUAGCACUAAUCUGAGGACUUGCGAGAGGGGUCCGGUUCAAUCCCGGACGUGUCCA
This 88-nucleotide transfer RNA is filed under the name Thelephora terrestris. RNAcentral's name for it is "tRNA-Ala". The record is from RNAcentral. Lineage: Eukaryota; Fungi; Basidiomycota; Agaricomycetes; Thelephorales; Thelephoraceae.